This 326-nucleotide long non-coding RNA is filed under the name Salvia miltiorrhiza (redroot sage). RNAcentral describes it as "long non-coding RNA (SMIL_LNC002203)". The record is from RNAcentral. Lineage: Eukaryota; Viridiplantae; Streptophyta; Magnoliopsida; Lamiales; Lamiaceae.
GAAAAUAGGGAAGGAGAGUGAGGAGGUAGGAGCCGCCGGCCUCCGGCGGUGGCGGCCGUCCGGUGGCGCGGUGGUAGGAGGCCGAGAGGGAGAUAGAGGGGUGGAGAGAAGAGAGAGAGCGGCAGGGAGAGGGAGAGUGAGGUUAUGCGUGGGUGUUGAGGUAUGAGAUUUAAUUAGGGAUUGUUAGAUGGGCUUAGGAAUGGGCUUUAUUUUGGGUCUUAAUUUUAUUAAUUGAAUUGGGCUUCUAAUUUAGUUAAUUCUUUUAAGUAGUGAGCAUAAUUUAUUUAAGCCCAUAGUUACUCUUUUAAUUAUUAUUCCCAUUUCAG